Molecule: ribosomal RNA, 343 nt
Filed under: uncultured Glomeromycotina
Lineage: Eukaryota; Fungi; Glomeromycota
Description: eukaryotic LSU rRNA
Source: RNAcentral
AUCAGCCUUUCGGGUGCGAUUCCUGUGGAGUGUGAGGAAGCUUAACACCUUCAUGCUUUGCACAUUUGUGCUCUUGGGUGUACUUGCCCGUGUGGUUGGUUAACAUCAACUUUGGUGGUCAUAAAAUGACUGGAGGAAUGUAGCUUCGAUCUCGUAUUGAAGUGUUAUAGCCUUCGGUAGAUGUGAUGAUCGAGAUUGAGGAUUGCAACGGAUACCCUUCGGGGCUACCUGUCUGGUCUCUGAUUGUUGCUCUGGUGCCGAAAGCUUGCUUACGGUUAUCAAAGUCGAUGGUCAAUAGGUUAGAACGGGUUAAAUUCGUUAAGGAUGUUGACGUAAUGGCUUU